This 640-nucleotide ribosomal RNA is filed under the name Triticum aestivum (bread wheat). RNAcentral describes it as "partial small subunit ribosomal RNA". Lineage: Eukaryota; Viridiplantae; Streptophyta; Magnoliopsida; Poales; Poaceae. The record is from RNAcentral.
GGGAUUGGAUUAGUUGAAUAUCCAUGGUUUGUUGUUUGGUUGAAAGGAUAAGAAGUGGCUAAGGACAUGCCAAGUUUGGAAAAUAUACACAGCGCGCACACAUAAGCAGCCACACAAUCAUCCAUGAGUAUAAUAACAGAUCGGGCUGCAGUUCGUAGUGCAAAAAAUCAGAGAAUAUAAUUUUAUACUAGGGGAACUGGAGCAUGGGAAUUGAGAGGAUAGAGCCACCGAGCCAGCCUCAGCCUAACCCAUCAGGCACGCAAAGCUCGAUUGCGUGGUGGCCGUCGUCGAGGAGUGCGAGGCUCCGGCUGGAUCCGGUUCUACACCUUCACGAGCACUCAAGGGUGAUGGUGCCAUCGCAGAUCCGCCCAAAUCGCCAUCGCCGCCGCCUUCACGCCGGGCACGCACACUGCACACGAGAGAUGGCUGGAUUGACAAGUAGAGGAAGGGCAAGGCCUGUCCGCCGCUGCGCUUCUCCGGCCGGCGCCCGCCGGCGCCGCCGCCAAGCCCGGGGAGGAGGAGGAGAGGUGGAUAAACUGAGAGAUGCUUUUCUUUCGGGAGAGUUGACUGAACGGACGACUCAGGAUUCGCUUGCGACACGAACGUGGCUGCCCUCAUCUCCGCCAUAUUUUGCCGGCUC